RNAcentral lists this long non-coding RNA (1496 nucleotides) under Fukomys damarensis (Damara mole-rat). RNAcentral describes it as "lncRNA (ENSFDAG00000029316.1)". Lineage: Eukaryota; Metazoa; Chordata; Mammalia; Rodentia; Bathyergidae. The record is from RNAcentral.
AUCCUGGACGAAGCAGAUGUUCACAGCGGGUGGAGCUGCACUCUCCUGGGAGAAGUCUGGUCCAGAACUGACAGGUCUUUGAUGGAGGGACGUCUGCCUCUCCAGGCAGCGCUGUCACGGCUGCCUCACUGUGGCUGGUACCGAAGAAAUUAAGAAAGUCCGUGUAGGCCAGGGGGCGUGAUUAGGGAGAUGGGGGAUAAGGUCAGCAUCCAAGUCUUUGGGUAUUUCCCCAAGAAAUUUCUUGCUCGAUGUUUUAACUCUAAAACGACCUUCCAAGAUUUGUGCUUCGUAAGAUCCAGCUGGAGAAUUAUAGUUUAUUGAGGAAUGGCCUAAUUUGUAUCGGAACUGUUUGUUAAUCGAGAGAAUUACCAGUGGUCUGUGACCAAAACCUACAAUGAUGGUUUAUUUGUAGCAGUGUCUUUCUAGGGGGAGGAUUACCCAGGAGCAUGGGGUAGAGCUGCAGGAGCUUUUCUCAAUGCUGCACUGGGUGAUGCCAGGGUAUGUGAGGCCGCAGGGCGUCCUCUCCUUUUGAUUGCUUCAAGCAUUUGUGGAGUCCUUACUUUGUUCACCUACUGGCUCAUCUCCCUUUUCCUAGUCUGGAUCCUGUGGGUGUGUAUUUGGAAGGAGCUAGGAAGACUCUGGAGUUACCUCAAUUUGACUAACCUUAACUACCUUUUAUUAAAAAAGAAAAAAUCUUGAAUGCCUGCUGGGGUUGAUGAGAUUUCCUUGCUCCAGCUCCUCCCCGGUUUAAAGGGACACAUUCAAAAUGACUUUUAUGUAAAUUUACUUUCUCUUUUAAAACAGGACUGCUUUGCUAGUGGUGACCAUGAACAGUGUUGAGGGUCUUGGUGCUGAAGGAAAGCGCAGGGAGAGUCCGGGUUCGCUCAGCCCUGGGUCCACACAGCUGAGGGCGGGAGGGCGGAAGCCUCUCUGCCCUCUCUCCAGAACCUGUUGCGAGAUCACCUCAAGUCGGAGUGAGGUGACUCCUCUCAUUUCCACUGAGCACAGCCAUAGGGAAGUCUGGAGGAUGGGACUCCGGGCACAUCAGAAAGGGACGCUGGAAACGACCCCCCAUUCCCUUUGGAGGAGGAGAGCUGCCGGAAGCAGUGAGGGCGCUGUCUCGACUCACCAUCUCUGGUCAUCUGCUGCCACCUAGUGGCCAUUCUGAGACGCUCCUACCAGUACCGUAUAAGCAUCACAAGAGGAGAGAACCUAAGACCCAAACCCAAGAGGGUCGAUCCUUGUGCAGCCGGUUACAUUUUAUUUUCUUCCUUUUAGUCCUGUUUGAUUGAGGUGUGUGGGGGGGCUGCACUUGGGAUUGAACCUGGGGCUUUUGCAUCAAGCUACUUCAACUUUAAACACGUUUAAAAAUUUUUUUUGAGGCAGGGUUUUAUUGAAUUUUUAAAUACUAUUUGAUUUUUUUCAUAUACAUAUAAUACCUGUAUAUCUUCAGUUUUUAAGUUUAAAAAAUCUUGUUAAAAAUAUAACCAGAGGAA